Molecule: ribosomal RNA, 439 nt
Filed under: uncultured bacterium
Lineage: Bacteria
Description: partial 16S ribosomal RNA
Rfam family: Bacterial small subunit ribosomal RNA
Source: RNAcentral
CUACGGGUGGCUGCAGUGAGGAAUAUUGCACAAUGGAGGAAACUCUGAUGCAGCAACGCCGCGUGGAGGAUGACGCAUUUCGGUGUGUAAACUCCUUUUAUAUGUCAAGAAAAUGACGGUAGCAUAUGAAUAAGCUCCGGCUAACUCCGUGCCAGCAGCCGCGGUAAUACGGAGGGAGCAAGCGUUACUCGGAAUCACUGGGCGUAAAGGACGCGUAGGCGGGAUAGAAAGUCAGGUGUGAAAUCCUAUGGCUCAACCAUAGAACUGCACUUGAAACUUCUAACCUAGAGUAUGGGAGGGGAAGAUGGAAUUAGUGGUGUAGGGGUAAAAUCCGUAGAUAUCACUAGGAAUACCAAAAGCGAAGGCGAUCUUCUGGAACAAUACUGACGCUAAGGCAUGAAAGCGUGGGGAGCAAACAGGAUUAGAUACCCGCGUAGUC